RNAcentral lists this long non-coding RNA (1795 nucleotides) under Marmota monax (woodchuck). The record is from RNAcentral. Lineage: Eukaryota; Metazoa; Chordata; Mammalia; Rodentia; Sciuridae.
GCUGUCUGGUCUAUACAGAAGGUGUUUGGGGAAAGUCUAUCACCCUUUUUAGGGCAUGGGAUUUUCUAGAAGCAUCUCUCUCGUGCUCUAGAACUUUGUGUUUCUCAUGAAAAAUAAAAAAGGCUACAAAUAGACGGAUGUUCUUUAAAACAAGAAACUGACACUCACUAAAAGAAAACAGAUGUACCCAUAAAAAGCAAACUGCUAUAAAUUGACUAAAAUCAAUUGUUUUUUCUUUUUUGUGGUGCUGGGGAUCAAAUGCAGGGCCUUGUGCAAAGCCAAAUUUAAAAACAAAACAAAACAUGUUUUAAAGGGUAUCUGUAAGGGCCCACUAAGCACUAUGGAAUGAAAAGAGAUCAUUUAUUUUAUUUAACAGAUACUUCAAUAGGCUCUAUUUUAAGUGCUUUGCAGAAAUUAGUUUUCAUGUAAUGCAGACACUAUUGCUUCCUCCACUUAUGGAUGAGGAGACAGAUGUACAGAAAGUAAUUAUUAGCCCAAGAUCUUGCAACUUAAAGAUGACAGAGCUCCUUUUACCCAAGAUGACAGAGCUCCUUUUAUACAAGGUUAAGCAGAUAAAGCUGGACAGUGCUGUAGGGAAUGCAGAGCAGUCAGCUCCUCCUCUCUGCCCACAGUGGUCCAGGCCCCGUCUCCAGGACAACCUCCAGCCCCAGGGUCUUGCGUAUAUUUGCAGAAAUAGUCUGUGAAUGUACUUCCUUUGGAUGCAACAGAUGUUCCUUGUCGUCUUUAAUGAAUAAAAAUAAAUAAGCAAAGAUUAAUUUUCCCAUACAGUUUGUAUGUGGAUGCCAAAGUAUCCAAGGAACCAAUGUUUUCAUUUUGAGGAAUGGAAACAUAAUCUAGAAUUUUCUAUCUUCUUUUUUUGAAAAGAAGCCCAUGAAAAUCACUUGUUCUGAUGCUUUCAUUAUCAAACCAUUAUUAUAAUCUAAAUGAAAAAAAGGUAGACAAGAAUUCGUUUUUCUGUGUUCAUGAACUCAUUUGGCAAAGAUUUUAAAAAAUUUAUUUUGAAGUUCUGGGGAGGAACUUGGAGCCUCCAGCAUGCUAGGCAAGUGCUCUACCAUUGAGCUACAUCCCCAGCCCAGCAAAGAUUUUUGAGUGUUGAUUUUGAACUAACCCCUUUGCUAGUGCUAAGGAACUCAGAUGAAAGGAACAGCUUCCGUCCUGAGAGACGACUCGUUCUGGAGGGGCAGCCAGAGGAGCAAACAUCACAAGCCCUGGAUAGGACUGGGGUUAUGAGACCCAGGAGAGGGCUACUCACCCAGACUCGGUUCAGAGGGCAGCUUUCUGGAGGAGGGAGCCCUUCCUCUGUAUCUGGGGACCAGUCAGAGCUGAGUGGGGAAGGAGAGAAGAGAACUCCAGGAAGAAGGCAAGGAACUUCAGGCAGAAAAGCAAAGGUUCCAAGGGGGAGAGACCAUGUCUAGCUAGGCCUUGUUGGCAGUAUGGCUGACAUUCCUUGUGGGGAGUCUGGAGAGAUGGGCAAGGAUCAGAGGAGGUCAAGAUAGAAGAAUGAACAAGAUACAGGUGGGCUGGAGAGGACAGGAUGGGGAAGUCACAUUCACAGGCCCUGGUUGACCUGUUAGGUGUGGCACAGAGGGGAGAGUCAUUCUGGGGGGCAAAGGGGAUCCUAGGAGGAAGAACAGGCUGGAGGAGAGGAAGGUUGGCAUCGGGGUGGUGAGGGAUAAGUGGGAGGUGGCCACUGGACAGAUGCGAUGGAUAGAGGAGGGAGUACUCCCCCAGGUCUGGACUCAGAGUGCAGCGGGGCCAGGAGGUGCAGAUCUGG